GGGUGUACUUGAGCUCUUAUUUUAUUUUCACCAUUCAGUAGACUAACUUCCUAAAUAAGGGUGCUGUAGCAAAAAAUUUAUACAGCAAUAUUUGGAGAGCUCUCACUUGGAAUUAAGUACCUUGCUUUUUAAGCAAGUUGAGCAGCAACGUGAUUACCCAUCACGAUGAAGAAAAAGUCGAGCAGUAUUGCUAUUUUACUGGUUUCACUAAUUGCUUCGAUCUUGUUGUUCCAUUUUGUCGUGUUGUUGACUUUGGACUUUCUUCGUAAUGAAGUAAGGUGGAAGAAGAUUAAAUUUUGACAUAUAGGGUUUAUCAUAUUAAUUAUGGAAGUUCUUGGAUGGACUGAGCUCUUGAACGACGUGAGGUACAGAUGCUCACGUUGGUAACCCGCCAGCUUAGGAGUCCUAUUCAGAUAUCUUGGAGAGCUCCCUUGUUCCGGAGCCUAGAUUUUGGUACAGAAUCUCUUGUGGUGUAUAUGUAUUUUAUCCAGGGGUACGGCGGGGCCCUGUCCCGUCAUUUGAUACUGUUGUUACUCUUAGAGGUCUGUAGACAUAUGUGUGGGUUGUGUAUAAGUUCUGUUCAGCUGUGUCUAUACGAUGUGCUAUGAUAUGAUGUCCGUCUGUAGUGGCAGCCUUGUCGGCUUGCAAUGACAUGAUAUUGAUGUGUAGUGGCAGCCUU
Long non-coding RNA from Lycium barbarum (goji berry), 679 nucleotides. RefSeq lists it as uncharacterized. NCBI's taxonomy places the organism in Eukaryota, Viridiplantae, Streptophyta, Magnoliopsida, Solanales, Solanaceae. The record is from RefSeq and is a predicted model, not a curated record. The transcript has 3 exons.